This 448-nucleotide ribosomal RNA is filed under the name uncultured bacterium. RNAcentral's name for it is "bacterial SSU rRNA". It matches the Rfam family "Bacterial small subunit ribosomal RNA", at positions 328 to 792 of the family's 1533-position model. The record is from RNAcentral.
UAACCAGACUCCUACGGGAGGCAGCAGUCGGGAAUAUUGCACAAUGGAGGAAACUCUGAUGCGGUGACACCGCGUAUAGGAAGAAGGUUUUCGGAUUGUAAACUAUUUUAGACAGGGAAGAAAAAAGACAGUACCUGUAGAAUAAGCUCCGGCUAACUACGUGCCAGCAGCCGCGGUAAUACGUAGGGAGCAAGCGUUAUCCGGAUUUAUUGGGUGUAAAGGGCGUGUAGGCGGGAGCGCAAGUCAGAUGUGAAAGCUCAGGGCUCAACCCUGAGCCUGCAUUUGAAACUGUGUUUCUUGAGUGCUGGAGAGGCAAUCGGAAUUCCGUGUGUAGCGGUGAAAUGCGUAGAUAUACGGAGGAACACCAGUGGCGAAGGCGGAUUGCUGGACAGUAACUGACGCUGAGGCGCGAAAGCGUGGGGAGCAAACAGGAUUAGAUCCCCUAGUA